GAAAUGCGAUAAGUAAUGUGAAUUGCAGAAUUCAGUGAAUCAUCGAAUCUUUGAACGCACCUUGCGCUCCUUGGUAUUCCUUGGAGCAUGCCUGUUUGAGUAUCAUGAAAUCUUCAAAGUAAAUCUUUUGUUAACUCAAUUGGUUUCUACUUUGGUAUUGGAGGUCUUUGCAGCUUCACACCUGCUCCUCUUUGUUCAUUAGCUGGAUCUCAGUGUUAUGCUUGGUUCCACUCGGCGUGAUAAGUUAUCUAUCGCUGAGGACACUGUAAAAGGUGGCCAAGGUAAAUGCAGAUGAACCGCUUCUAAUAGUCCAUUUACUUGAACAAUACUUUUAUGAUCUGAUCUCAAAUCAGGUAGGACUACCCGCUGAACUUAAGC
Molecule: unclassified non-coding RNA, 378 nt
Filed under: plant metagenome
Description: partial contains 5.8S ribosomal RNA, internal transcribed spacer 2, and large subunit ribosomal RNA
Rfam family: 5.8S ribosomal RNA (bases 1-105)
Source: RNAcentral